This 253-nucleotide ribosomal RNA is filed under the name uncultured bacterium. Its description in RNAcentral is "partial 16S ribosomal RNA". It matches the Rfam family "Bacterial small subunit ribosomal RNA", at positions 524 to 776 of the family's 1533-position model. The record is from RNAcentral.
GACGUAGGUGGCGAACGUUAUCCGGAAUUAUUGGGCGUAAAGGGCGCGUAGGCGGCUCGUGAAGUCGGGUGUGAAAGCCCGGGGCUCAACCCCGGAACGGCAUCCGAUACUGGCGGGCUUGAGACCGGGAGAGGAGGGUGGAAUACCCAGUGUAGAGGUGAAAUUCGUAGAUAUUGGGUGGAACACCGGUGGCGAAAGCGGCUCUCUGGCCCGGAUCUGACGCUGAGGCGCGAAAGCGUGGGGAGCAAACAGG